RNAcentral lists this ribosomal RNA (566 nucleotides) under Acrobeloides sp. MCt23. Its description in RNAcentral is "SSU rRNA". It matches the Rfam family "Eukaryotic small subunit ribosomal RNA", at positions 1059 to 1651 of the family's 1831-position model. RNAcentral also lists the same sequence under 2 other names. Lineage: Eukaryota; Metazoa; Nematoda; Chromadorea; Rhabditida; Cephalobidae. The record is from RNAcentral.
GGUGGAUUUUUAGCCCUGGUGGGUAGCUUCCCGGAAACGAAAGUCUUCCGGUUCCGGGGGAAGUAUGGUUGCAAAGCUGAAACUUAAAGGAAUUGACGGAAGGGCACCACCAGGAGUGGAGCCUGCGGCUUAAUUUGACUCAACACGGGGAAACUCACCCGGCCCGGACACCGUAAGGAUUGACAGAUUGAUAGCUCUUUCAUGAUUCGGUGGUUGGUGGUGCAUGGCCGUUCUUAGUUCGUGGAUCGAUUUGUCUGGUUUAUUCCGAUAACGAGCGAGACUCUAGCCUACUAAAUAGUAACGAGAUUAUCAAUGUCUCAGUUGCUUCUUAGAGGGAUUUUCGGUGUUUAGCCGCACGAGAUUGAGCAAUAACAGGUCUGUGAUGCCCUUAGAUGUCCGGGGCUGCACGCGCGCUACACUGGCGAAAUCAGCGUGCUGUAUCCAUUCUCGAAAGGGAUUGGUAAACCCAUGAAAAUUUGCCGUGCUUGGGAUCGGAAAUUGCAAUUAUUUUCCGUGAACGAGGAAUUCCAAGUAAGUGCGAGUCAUCAACUCGCUCUGAUUACGUC